UACGUAGGGGGCGAGCGUUGUCCGGAUUCAUUGGGCGUAAAGAGCUCGUAGGCGGUUCAGUAAGUCAGGUGUGAAAGCUCCGAGCUCAACUCGGAGACGCCAUCUGAUACUGCUGUGACUAGAAUCCAGUAGGGGAGUGUGGAACUCCUGGUGUAGCGGUGAAAUGCGCAGAUAUCAGGAAGAACACCAGCGGCGAAGGCGGCACUCUGGGCUGGUAUUGACGCUGAGGAGCGAAAGUGUGGGUAGCAAACAGG
RNAcentral lists this ribosomal RNA (254 nucleotides) under uncultured bacterium. RNAcentral describes it as "partial 16S ribosomal RNA". It matches the Rfam family "Bacterial small subunit ribosomal RNA", at positions 524 to 776 of the family's 1533-position model. The record is from RNAcentral.